Molecule: long non-coding RNA, 1281 nt
Filed under: Homo sapiens (human)
Lineage: Eukaryota; Metazoa; Chordata; Mammalia; Primates; Hominidae
Description: HSALNT0376728
Source: RNAcentral
CUUUGCUCAUUAGAAGCAGGGAGCUCUCUUCUUCUUCCCCUGGAUCCUUCCUUUAAAAUAGUUUCUUUUGUCUUAAGUUUUCAUUUCUACGUUUGUCCCUUCAUUCAGUCUCUUAAAUGACGGUCUCAAGCAGUAACAGUAGUAAUUGCUGUAAUGACGGUCUCAAGUAGUAACCAGGGCACUCUGCCACAAGUGGCACCUGAACAGGGACUAACAGGGACUAUCAAGAACAAACGGAGACCUGAAGAGACCUGAAGGGAACUGAAGAGGUCUGCAGGGACAAAUAGAGAUAAGUAGGGAUAAAUAGAGAUAAAUAGAGACAAAUAGAGAUAGGUAAGGAAUGACAGGGACUUGCAGGAAGUAACAGGGACCAUAGGGACAGAUAGGGAUAGAUAAAGACUAGCAAAGACUAGCCGAGAUUAGCAAAGACCAGCAAGGACUAGCAGAGACUAGCAAAGACUAGCAGAAACUUGCAGGGACAGGCAGAGACAGAUAGGGACAGAUAGGGUCCUACAGGGACUUGAACGAGGAAGAUCUGCUGGAAAAGAAAAGAACUACAACCAACCAGAUGAACAAGAAACCCUGUUACAAGUCUGCUGGCAGCAACAUAAGGGUAUGCUUGUUUUUGCAGGAAAUGAACAAAAAGUGUGGGUGCCCCCAAGGUGUGUACUACCAUGGAAUGGGAGAUUGGAGGGACACAUGGAUCCCAACCGUGGGCCUGGUUCCCCCAGUAUGAGCUGAAUACGAAGACAGAACAAACCACCAACCGGCAAUUGAAGUGACACAAAGUGAACCGGGUUCUAUAAAUUACCAUGGAAAGUGGUGAGCCAACGAUUUGGCAGAACAAAACCCUGAGGAUAUGCAAACAAAAGGGACUAUGGAAUUUGCAAUUGCAGAUUAAAAUUGAAGAAGAAAACAUUUGAGUUGCAAAUACCGUAUUAAAAGUGGACACUGCUUAUGACUGCUGUAUGCAACAGUUUUUCAGGCCCGAGAGGAACCCAGACAUGCUCUAUUUGCAAACCGACUGCAUGAAACAAAAAGCACGGUAAUUCUGAAGCUGUUGGCUUGGAUGAAAUGAGAAUGUAAUUAAAAAGAAAAAGGUUAGCAAAAGAACAUGCUGGGAAUUGAAAAUAAAAAUCUGAAAUGAUGUCCCAGCCUGCCCUUAAGGUCUUUUCCACCAUGUAGAGAGCUACCUCAAAUGCUCUACUUGUCCCAGAGUCUAUGUUCUUUCACUACUAUUGCCUAUAUCUGUGUUUUCUGCUUUCAAUAAUCUAUUGAAAU